This 1140-nucleotide ribosomal RNA is filed under the name Psychrobacter sp. ZB257. Its description in RNAcentral is "partial 16S ribosomal RNA". The record is from RNAcentral. Lineage: Bacteria; Pseudomonadati; Pseudomonadota; Gammaproteobacteria; Moraxellales; Moraxellaceae.
GUGACGCCUUCCUAAAAGGUUAGGCUAUCCACUUCUGGUGCAAUCAACUCCCAUGGUGUGACGGGCGGUGUGUACAAGGCCCGGGAACGUAUUCACCGCGGCAUUCUGAUCCGCGAUUACUAGCGAUUCCUACUUCAUGGAGUCGAGUUGCAGACUCCAAUCUGGACUACGAUAGGCUUUUUGAGAUUCGCAUCACAUCGCUGUGUAGCUGCCCUCUGUACCUACCAUUGUAGCACGUGUGUAGCCCUGGUCGUAAGGGCCAUGAUGACUUGACAUCGUCCCCGCCUUCCUCCAGUUUGUCACUGGCAGUAUCCUUAGAGUUCCCGGCCAAACCGCUGGUAACUAAGGAAAAGGGUUGCGCUCGUUGCGGGACUUAACCCAACAUCUCACGACACGAGCUGACGACAGCCAUGCAGCACCUGUAUUCUAAUUCCCGAAGGCACUCCCGCAUCUCUGCAGGAUUCUAGAUAUGUCAAGACCAGGUAAGGUUCUUCGCGUUGCAUCGAAUUAAACCACAUGCUCCACCGCUUGUGCGGGCCCCCGUCAAUUCAUUUGAGUUUUAACCUUGCGGCCGUACUCCCCAGGCGGUCUACUUAUUGCGUUAGCUGCGUCACUAAGUCCUCAAGGGACCCAACGACUAGUAGACAUCGUUUACGGCGUGGACUACCAGGGUAUCUAAUCCUGUUUGCUACCCACGCUUUCGAGCCUCAGUGUCAGUAUGAUGCCAGGAAGCUGCCUUCGCCAUCGGUAUUCCUUCAGAUCUCUACGCAUUUCACCGCUACACCUGAAAUUCUACUUCCCUCUCACCUACUCUAGCUUAACAGUAUCAGAUGCAGUUCCCAGGUUAAGCCCGGGGAUUUCACAUCUGACUUAUCAAGCCACCUACGCUCGCUUUACGCCCAGUAAUUCCGAUUAACGCUUGCACCCUCUGUAUUACCGCGGCUGCUGGCACAGAGUUAGCCGGUGCUUAUUCUGCAGCUAAUGUCAUCGUCCGUGGGUAUUAACCACGGAGUCUUCUUCACUGCUUAAAGUGCUUUACAACCAAAAGGCCUUCUUCACACACGCGGCAUGGCUGGAUCAGGGUUGCCCCCAUUGUCCAAUAUUCCCCACUGCUGCCUCCCGUAGGAGUCCGGACCUGGU